AGAGUUUGAUCCUGGCUCAGGACGAACGCUGGCGGCGUGGAUUAGGCAUGCAAGUCGAGCGGCAAGCACCUUCGGGUGCCUAGAGCGGCGAACGGGUGAGUAACACGUGAACAACCUGUCCUAUUGUUCCGGAUAAUUGAGAGAAAUCUCUUGUAAUACGGGGGAGCGUGGUUUUGAGGCAUCUCAGAACUAAAGAACAAGCAAUUGGCAUUUGGAGGGGUUCGCGUCCUAUCAGGUAGUUGGUGAGGUAACGGCUCACCAAGCCAACGACGGGUAGCUGGUCUGAGAGGAUGGUCAGCCACAUUGGAACUGAGACACUGUCCAGACUCCUACGGGAGGCUGCAGUCGAGAAUCUUGGGCAAUGCACGAAAGUGUGACCCAGCGACGCCGCGUGAAGGAUGAAGGCCCUCUGGGUCGUAAACUUCUUUUAUGGGGAAAGAAGGCGGGGUUAAACCCGUUUGACGGUACCCUAUGAAUAAGCCACGGCUAACUACGUGCCAGCAGCCGCGGUAAUACGUAGGUGGCAAGCGUUGUCCGGAUUUACUGGGCGUAAAGCGAACGCAGGCGGAUCUUUAAGUAGGAAGUGAAAGGUUGGAGCUCAACUCUGACACUGCUCCCUAUACUGGAGAUCUUGUGUGUUGGAGAGGAAAGCGGAACGACACGUGUAGCGGUGAAAUGCGUUGAUAUGUGUCGGAACACCGAUGGCGAAAGCAGCUUUCUGGACAAAUACUGACGCUGAGGUUCGAAAGCCAAGGGAGCGAACAGGAUUAGAUACCCCGGUAGUCC
This 786-nucleotide ribosomal RNA is filed under the name uncultured soil bacterium. Its description in RNAcentral is "bacterial SSU rRNA". It matches the Rfam family "Bacterial small subunit ribosomal RNA", at positions 8 to 796 of the family's 1533-position model. The record is from RNAcentral.